CCUACGGGAGGCAGCAGUGGGGAAUAUUGCACAAUGGGGGAAACCCUGAUGCAGCGACGCCGCGUGAAGGAAGAAGUAUUUCGGUAUGUAAACUUCUAUCAGCAGGGAAGAAAAUGACGGUACCUGACUAAGAAGCUCCGGCUAACUACGUGCCAGCAGCCGCGGUAAUACGGAGGGGGCAAGCGUUAUCCGGAUUUACUGGGUGUAAAGGGAGCGUAGGCGGCGAUGCAAGUCUGUAGUGAAAGCCCGGGGCGCAACUCCGGGACUGCUUUUGAAACUGUAUGGCUAGAUUGCAGGGUAGGCAAGUGGAAUUCCUGGUGUAGCGGUGAAAUGCGUAGAUAUUAGGAGGAACACCAGUGGCGAAGGCAGCUUGCUGGACUGUAAAUGACGCUGAGGCUCGAAGGCGUGGGGAGCAAACAGGAUUAGAUACCCGUGUAGUC
Molecule: ribosomal RNA, 440 nt
Filed under: uncultured bacterium
Lineage: Bacteria
Description: partial 16S ribosomal RNA
Rfam family: Bacterial small subunit ribosomal RNA
Source: RNAcentral